RNAcentral lists this ribosomal RNA (450 nucleotides) under uncultured bacterium. RNAcentral describes it as "partial 16S ribosomal RNA". It matches the Rfam family "Bacterial small subunit ribosomal RNA", at positions 354 to 796 of the family's 1533-position model. The record is from RNAcentral.
GUGGGGAAUCUUCCACAAUGGACGAAAGUCUGAUGGAGCAACGCCGCGUGAGUGAAGAAGGGUUUCGGCUCGUAAAGCUCUGUUGUCGGGGACGAAUGUGCAGUAUUUGAAUAAAGUACUGUAAUGACGGUACCUGACGAGGAAGCCACGGCUAACUACGUGCCAGCAGCCGCGGUAAUACGUAGGUGGCAAGCGUUGUCCGGAAUUAUUGGGCGUAAAGGGAGCGCAGGCGGGAAGGUAAGUCGGUCUUAAAAGUGCGGGGCUCAACCCCGUGAUGGGAUCGAAACUAUCUUUCUUGAGUGCAGGAGAGGAAAGUGGAAUUCCUAGUGUAGCGGUGAAAUGCGUAGAUAUUAGGAGGAACACCAGUGGCGAAGGCGACUUUCUGGACUGUAACUGACGCUGAGGCUCGAAAGCCAGGGGAGCGAACGGGAUUAGAUACCCCUGUAGUCC